This 497-nucleotide ribosomal RNA is filed under the name uncultured bacterium. Its description in RNAcentral is "partial 16S ribosomal RNA". It matches the Rfam family "Bacterial small subunit ribosomal RNA", at positions 28 to 507 of the family's 1533-position model. The record is from RNAcentral.
GAUGAACGCUGGCGGCGUGCCUAAUACAUGCAAGUCGAGCGAACAGACGAGGAGCUUGCUCCUCUGACGUUAGCGGCGGACGGGUGAGUAACACGUGGAUAACCUACCUAUAAGACUGGGAUAACUUCGGGAAACCGGAGCUAAUACCGGAUAAUAUAUUGAACCGCAUGGUUCAAUAGUGAAAGACGGUUUUGCUGUCACUUAUAGAUGGAUCCGCGCCGCAUUAGCUAGUUGGUAAGGUAACGGCUUACCAAGGCAACGAUGCGUAGCCGACCUGAGAGGGUGAUCGGCCACACUGGAACUGAGACACGGUCCAGACUCCUACGGGAGGCAGCAGUAGGGAAUCUUCCGCAAGGGGCGAAAGCCUGACGGAGCAACGCCGAGUGAGUGAUGAAGGUCUUCGGAUCGUAAAACUCUGUUAUUAGGGAAGAACAAAUGUGUAAGUAACUAUGCACGUCUUGACGGUACCUAAUCAGAAAGCCACGGCUAACUACGUG